Dermochelys coriacea (leatherback sea turtle) is the source of this 1897-nucleotide long non-coding RNA. RefSeq lists it as uncharacterized. The record is from RefSeq and is a predicted model, not a curated record. The transcript is spliced from 4 exons. Lineage: Eukaryota; Metazoa; Chordata; Testudines; Dermochelyidae.
AGCAACUGAUCCGAACAUUAUUGGUCCCAAUCCUCAAUCCUUCUUAACAGCCCUUUGAGCUGCUCUUUCACUACCAGAGGGGAACAUCAGUACUGUGGAUCUGACUAAUGCAUCUCAUUUCUUUGGCUUGGGUAUGCUCCAACCUAGAGAGGAUUUGUGAGUUGGUCAGAUAUUUUUUCCCCCCUUCACCACUGGAGAGGCAUUCCCAAUCCAGAUCAGACUUGUGGUCCAUCUAGCCAAGUAUUCCGCCUCUGACAGUGGCCAGCACCAGAUGUUUCGGCGGAAGGUGUGAGAACUCCACAAUACGUGGCGAUGAGAUAACCUGCCCCCAGGGAAAGUUUCUUUCCAGCUUCUGCCAAUGGGAGAUUCCUUCUCUUGAGAGCAGCAGUGCUACCCUGAAGUGCUAGGCAGGUGCAAAAUGGCUGCAGAUUGUAAACCUGUGAACAGGAAAACUGGGAGUAAGGCUGUGGCAUAUGGAGCUUUGAGACAGAGAGUUUGCAUGGUUACUGCGCCUUAAAAUUUGGAUCAUUCUGGACUGGCAGGGCUCAAAAGACAAGUCAGAAGGCAACUGUUGCAGCUGGACUUGGUUGGAGGCUGGACUCAAGAAUGACAUGACUGUGGCUAUAGCUGGCAUUUGAAUGCAGUUUUGGGAAAUUCACUGAGACAACCUCAGAUGAAACCUUUAGCAAGAGGAAUGAUAAAUAUUCGAAUGAGAUCUCAAUGAAUUUCUAAUAUCCGUGAAUGCAGCCAUAUGGGAUAUUACAAGAAGCCAGCAGAUAAGAACGCUUUUUGAAUUCUUAUGUUGGCAUACAGUGGCAUUUGAUGUUUGAGCAGAUUUGGUUACAUUUGUACCAAUAAAUACUAAACACAGGAUGAUAUCAUUUCAUUUCCAGAAAGGAAUACCCAGUACCAGAAUAUCUCACUCAAGCAAACUAACGUCCAGUGUAAUUUCAGAACUGUGAACUAAGUGUAAAACAGGGACCGGGAAUCUUUGUGGGGAUGUAGAAAACUUGUGUUUGUUGGGUUCAAAGUUGAAAUAUGUGCAAGAGCUGCUGUAUAUUUUUCACUUGUGAGACCCAGAUGGUGGCUUUUUUAAUAAUUCAGAAGACGUUAUUAAAUAUAUCAAGAAAAAUGUAGGAGAGCAACGCUGAAAGAGACCAGGACAUGCAUGAGGCUUGUUUUCUGGAGAGUUUAACUCAAGUCUGGGAGCUUAUAGAGGGGGGAUUUUCCAAACACUGCAAAUACAACUGCAGACUAACACGGCUGCUACUCUGAAAUCUGCAAAUACAAAGUGGAUCGCUCAUGCUCUGCUCUGAGUGUCCUGCAGACAAAGCUCCCAAUCCUGCAAACUGCAGGGAGCUCCAGGCAUUGAGGAUAGCAAACACACACACUAUUGAGGGUUCUGCCCUCUUCUUAAAGUCACAGUUCCCAUUUCUAUUCGGGGCACAUGGUUAACAAUGCAUCCACUAGCAAAAUACAAUGAGUACAAGUACCACAAUAAAACAAAUAUUUAAAAAACAUAAACAUUCACUUCUGAAUAUUUUCAGAUAGCAGUUAUUCCAGGCUUGUCACAUGUACAACAAGAUGUUGGUCAGAUGAAUCUGUAACUUACAAAUGUUUUACAGGUAUCCUAGUAGAAUAUGCAAUACUACUCCUAAUUACUUAUCAAUGUGGAGGUAAUCUAGGGACAUUUUAAAGAAGUUAAGGGGCCCAUAUCUGAAUUUAAAUGUGCUAUUGUUUAUAUUAUAAAUAUGUUAGUCUAUUUUAAUGUUUCUGCUACAGCUCCUUGUAAUGUUUUCAUCUGAGUCCCCAGCAUAUAUGGCUGUUGUGUUAUAUUUCAAUAUAAGUAGGUUUUUAUCUGAUGCAUUUUAUGUAUUAAGAAAAUAAACAUUUUAAA